RNAcentral lists this ribosomal RNA (496 nucleotides) under uncultured bacterium. RNAcentral describes it as "partial 16S ribosomal RNA". It matches the Rfam family "Bacterial small subunit ribosomal RNA", at positions 28 to 506 of the family's 1533-position model. The record is from RNAcentral.
GAUGAACGCUGGCGGCGUGCCUAAUACAUGCAAGUCGAGCGAACAGAUGAGGAGCUUGCUCCUCUGACGUUAGCGGCGGACGGGUGAGUAACACGUGGAUAACCUACCUAUAAGACUGGGAUAACUUCGGGAAACCGGAGCUAAUACCGGAUAAUAUAUUGAACCGCAUGGUUCAAUAGUGAAAGACGGUUUUGCUGUCACUUAUAGAUGGAUCCGCGCCGCAUUAGCUAGUUGGUAAGGUAACGGCUUACCAAGGCAACGAUGCGUAGCCGACCUGAGAGGGUGAUCGGCCACACUGGAACUGAGACACGGUCCAGACUCCUACGGGAGGCAGCAGUAGGGAAUCUUCCGCAAUGGGCGAAAGCCUGACGGAGCAACGCCGCGUGAGUGAUGAAGGUCUGCGGAUCGUAAAACUCUGUUAUUAGGGAAGAACAAAUGUGUAAGUAACUAUGCACGUCCUGACGGUACCUAAGCAGAAAGCCACGGCUAACUACGU